CCGGGGACCGAGGCAGAAGAGGAGCGCGGCAGCGGCGGGGCGAUCCCGCGAGUUCCUUCCAGUGAACACCUCCUGGGGGUGUCCGGAGGGCUGGGGGUGGGCGCCGCGGCGCCUACAUUAGCCCCGCCGGGCUGCGCCCAGGCGGCAGUCGGGUCGGAGCCGCCGCCGGACUCAGCGCCGCGCGCGCCCCGCGCUGCGCCCCGCGCCCGGCUCUGCGCGAUCAGCUCCCCGGCGUCAGAGGCGCGCCCGGCCCUCCGGCCGCUCUCCCCCGCCGGCUCGCGGGGCGCGUGGGCUCGGCGGAGGCGGAGAGGGGGAGGCUGCAGGCGGGGAGAAGAGGCGGGCCCGCGGCGGCCGGAGCCCAGAGGAGAGUGGCAUGCCCGAGCCCUGGAGGCGGAGGUGGCGAAGCCGGCCGCGGGGAGACGAUGCCGCGGCUCCGUAGGGGAGGAAGGCGACAGAGAGCCAGGCGAGCCGGGCGCCCGGGCGCCCGCCGGCUGCGGGGAAGCGCGCGCCGCUCCGAGGCUCCGGCCUCCGCACCCCAGCACCCCGACGCUGCGGGCGACAGGGCCGGGCUCCGGCAGCCGCCGCCGCCGCCGCCGCCGCCUGGAGGACGGAGCAAAAGUUUGGAUCUGGGGGAGGACGCGGCGCCGAGCGGGAUUCCUACCGGGGCCGCCUGGAGACCUCCUAAACCUUCGCAGAUUGCAGAUUGAGCUUUACCAAGAAGCUCGUGGGCUGAUCCACACUGACCUGCCUGACCACGCAAGAGGUUCUGCCGGCUUGGUUGGGCCCCUCUUGGCCGUGGAUAACUUGGCUUCACUUGUUGCCUGGGUGGAAAAUUCUUCCUAUUGAAAUAUUUUUGCACAUGGAGGGCAACAGCAAAGAGGCCAACACAGGCUGAGCAGAUCAGAGACCUCAAGAAGAUUCUUUGACCUUGGCCUUCAGGACAUUUCUUCUAGUUGGAGUUCUGGACUUGAGAACCCUGUUCAAUUAUUUUGGUUUGGCUAUCUGUUUCUAUUUUUUAUUUCUAUUUUUUUACUUUUCUUUUCCCUACAGCAUCGUGU
RNAcentral lists this long non-coding RNA (1058 nucleotides) under Moschus moschiferus (Siberian musk deer). RNAcentral describes it as "lncRNA (ENSMMSG00000010000.1)". Lineage: Eukaryota; Metazoa; Chordata; Mammalia; Artiodactyla; Moschidae. The record is from RNAcentral.